AAUAGUUUCUCGCGCGAAAUCAUCUACAAUUUUCUCCAUUCGUUUUAUAUCUUCAGCUUCUAGACUUUGUAAGUCAUGCUGGUGCUCCGAGUCCGCAUCUGGAACAGCUAGCAUCCCGGUAGUCCCA
This 127-nucleotide non-coding RNA is filed under the name Mucochytrium quahogii. Lineage: Eukaryota; Bigyra; Thraustochytrida; Thraustochytriidae. The record is from RNAcentral.